RNAcentral lists this ribosomal RNA (451 nucleotides) under uncultured bacterium. Its description in RNAcentral is "partial 16S ribosomal RNA". It matches the Rfam family "Bacterial small subunit ribosomal RNA", at positions 28 to 507 of the family's 1533-position model. The record is from RNAcentral.
GAUGAAUGCUGGCGGCGUGCCUAACACAUGCAAGUCGAGCGGCAGCGAGGGGUGCUUGCACCCUGUCGGCGAGCGGCGAACGGCUGAGUAACGCGUAGGAAUUUGCCCCAAAGUGAGGAAUAACUGCCCGAAAGGGUAGCUAAUGCCGCAUAUGGUCUUCGGAUUAAAGGAUUUAUCCGCUUUGGGAGAAGCCUGCGUUGGAUUAGGUUGUUGGUAGGGUAAUGGCCUACCAAGCCGACGACCCAUAGCUGGUCUGAGAGGAUGAUCAGCCAGACUGGAACUGAGACACGGUCCAGACUCCUACGGGAGGCAGCAGUGAGGAAUCUUCCACAAUGGGCGAAAGCCUGAUGGAGCAACGCCGCGUGAAGGAUGAAGGCCUUCGGGUUGUAAACUUCUUUUAUGAGUGAAGAAUAUGACGGUAACUCAUGAAUAAGCACCGGCUAACUACGUG